RNAcentral lists this ribosomal RNA (301 nucleotides) under uncultured bacterium. RNAcentral's name for it is "partial 16S ribosomal RNA". It matches the Rfam family "Bacterial small subunit ribosomal RNA", at positions 509 to 807 of the family's 1533-position model. The record is from RNAcentral.
CAGCCGCCACGGUAAUACGUAGGGUGCAAGCGUUAAUCGGAAUUACUGGGCGUAAAGCGUGCGCAGGCGGUUUGUUAAGACAGAUGUGAAAUCCCCGAGCUUAACUUGGGAACUGCAUUUGAAACUGGCAAGCUAGAGUCUUGUAGAGGGGGGUAGAAUUCCAGGUGUAGCGGUGAAAUGCGUAGAGAUCUGGAGGAAUACCGGUGGCGAAGGCGGCCCCCUGGACAAAGACUGACGCUCAGGUGCGAAAGCGUGGGGAGCAAACAGGAUUAGAGACCCCAGUAGUCCCUGUCUCUUAUAC